Long non-coding RNA from Athene cunicularia (burrowing owl), 557 nucleotides. RefSeq lists it as uncharacterized. The transcript is spliced from 3 exons. The record is from RefSeq and is a predicted model, not a curated record. NCBI's taxonomy places the organism in Eukaryota, Metazoa, Chordata, Aves, Strigiformes, Strigidae.
CGUUUCCCCCAUCGCUGUAAACCGGUUCAGGCCGAGGACGGUGGCGGAGAGGGGUGGCCCCAGGCACCGCCCGCCCGGUGCCGCUGAGCCCAGGCUGCAGCAAUUUCUGACCAAUCCUGCCUGGGAAACAGAUUCACUCCGCCCCAGUCUCUUAUUCCCUUCCUCCUCCACCUCUUUCUCCUUCUCCUCCUCCCUUGCUCCUCCUCGCCCUCCAUGUCCUUUCGGUUGCCUUCUCCGCCACCCCCUUCCUUCCCUUCUCCUCCACGAGCCGUUUCACGUCGUUAAUCCGCGGGCAAGGAAGCUAAAUCUGCUGACCAAGCUAUCCCUUGUCCGUCUCUGCAAGUUUGGGAAUAACCAGCAAGGGGUACUGAGGGUUACUAAAUAAACACAUCAAUGCAUGAAAAGUGUGCCCUUGCUGCCUUCACACAUCACAGGAGAGAGCUCAAGGCUCUUCCAACUAAUGCUGACUGAUCAGGAAGAGGAAAACAGAACCUUUCACCCUCCCCAUACUGUCUUGAUUGAUGGAAAAAGCUGAAUUGUAAAAAAAAAAAAAAAAA